UCGAGGAUUUUUCUCAAUGGGGGAAACCCUGAAGGAGCGACGCCGCGUGAGGGAUGAAGGUCUUCGGAUUGUAAACCUCUGUCAUCUGGGAACAAAGCGCUCCACCUAACACGUGGAUUGUUGAUAGUACCGGAAGAGGAAGCAGUGGCUAACUCUGUGCCAGCAGCCGCGGUAAUACAGAGACUGCAAGCGUUGUUCGGAUUCAUUGGGCGUAAAGGGUCCGUAGGCGGUCGGUUAAGUCGGAUGUGAAAUCUCGUGGCCUAACCACGAGCGGUCAUUCGAAACUAAUCGGCUAGAGGGCUGGAGAGGAGACUGGAAUUGUCGGUGUAGCGGUGAAAUGCGUAGAGAUCGACAAGAACACCGGUGGCGAAGGCGGGUCUCUGGACAGUUCCUGACGCUGAGGGACGAAAGCUAGGGGAGCAAACGG
RNAcentral lists this ribosomal RNA (427 nucleotides) under uncultured bacterium. Its description in RNAcentral is "bacterial SSU rRNA". It matches the Rfam family "Bacterial small subunit ribosomal RNA", at positions 355 to 775 of the family's 1533-position model. The record is from RNAcentral.